RNAcentral lists this transfer RNA (25 nucleotides) under Coracias garrulus (European roller). RNAcentral's name for it is "partial tRNA-Phe". The record is from RNAcentral. Lineage: Eukaryota; Metazoa; Chordata; Aves; Coraciiformes; Coraciidae.
GUUCCUGUAGCUUACCCAAAGCAUG